UGGGGAAUUUUGGACAAUGGGCGAAAGCCUGAUCCAGCAAUGCCGCGUGUGUGAAGAAGGCCUUCGGGUUGUAAAGCACUUUUGUCCGGAAAGAAAUCCUUGGCUCUAAUACAGUCGGGGGAUGACGGUACCGGAAGAAUAAGCACCGGCUAACUACGUGCCAGCAGCCGCGGUAAUACGUAGGGUGCAAGCGUUAAUCGGAAUUACUGGGCGUAAAGCGUGCGCAGGCGGUUUGCUAAGACCGAUGUGAAAUCCCCGGGCUCAACCUGGGAACUGCAUUGGUGACUGGCAGGCUAGAGUAUGGCAGAGGGGGGUAGAAUUCCACGUGUAGCAAGUGAAAUGCGUAGAGAUGUGGAGAAUACCGAUGGCGAAGCAGCCCCUGGGCCAAUACUGACGCUCAUGCACGAAAGCGUGGGGAGCAAACAGG
Molecule: ribosomal RNA, 427 nt
Filed under: uncultured bacterium
Lineage: Bacteria
Description: partial 16S ribosomal RNA
Rfam family: Bacterial small subunit ribosomal RNA
Source: RNAcentral